CUUGACAUCCACGGAAUUUAGCAGAGAUGCUUUAGUGCCUUCGGGAACCGUGAGACAGGUGCUGCAUGGCUGUCGUCAGCUCGUGUUGUGAAAUGUUGGGUUAAGUCCCGNAACGAGCGCAACCCUUAUCCUUUGUUGCCAGCGGUUCGGCCGGGAACUCAAAGGAGACUGCCAGUGAUAAACUGGAGGAAGGUGGGGAUGACGUCAAGUCAUCAUGGCCCUUACGAGUAGGGCUACACACGUGCUACAAUGGCGUAUACAAAGAGAAGCGACCUCGCGAGAGCAAGCGGACCUCAUAAAGUACGUCGUAGUCCGGAUUGGAGUCUGCAACUCGACUCCAUGAAGUCGGAAUCGCUAGUAAUCGUGGAUCAGAAUGCUACGGUGAAUACGUUCCCGGGCCUUGUACACACCGCCCGUCACACCAUGGGAGUGGGUUGCAAAAGAAGUAGGUAGCUUAACCUUCGGGAGGGCGCUUACCACUUUGUGAUUCAUGACUGGGGUGAAGUCGUAACAAGGUAAGCGUAGAUGA
This 529-nucleotide ribosomal RNA is filed under the name uncultured bacterium. RNAcentral describes it as "bacterial SSU rRNA". It matches the Rfam family "Bacterial small subunit ribosomal RNA", at positions 980 to 1509 of the family's 1533-position model. The record is from RNAcentral.